This 1359-nucleotide ribosomal RNA is filed under the name uncultured bacterium. Its description in RNAcentral is "bacterial SSU rRNA". It matches the Rfam family "Bacterial small subunit ribosomal RNA", at positions 28 to 1381 of the family's 1533-position model. The record is from RNAcentral.
GAUGAACGCUAGCUACAGGCUUAACACAUGCAAGUCGAGGGGCAGCAUUUCAGUUUGCUUGCAAACUGGAGAUGGCGACCGGCGCACGGGUGAGUAACACGUAUCCAACCUGCCGAUAACUCGGGGAUAGCCUUUCGAAAGAAAGAUUAAUACCCGAUGGCAUAAUUAGACCGCAUGGUCUUAUUAUUAAAGAAUUUCGGUUAUCGAUGGGGAUGCGUUCCAUUAGGCAGUUGGUGAGGUAACGGCUCACCAAACCUUCGAUGGAUAGGGGUUCUGAGAGGAAGGUCCCCCACAUUGGAACUGAGACACGGUCCAAACUCCUACGGGAGGCAGCAGUGAGGAAUAUUGGUCAAUGGGCGCAGGCCUGAACCAGCCAAGUAGCGUGAAGGAUGACUGCCCUAUGGGUUGUAAACUUCUUUUAUAUGGGAAUAAAGUUUUCCACGUGUGGAAUUUUGUAUGUACCAUAUGAAUAAGGAUCGGCUAACUCCGUGCCAGCAGCCGCGGUAAUACGGAGGAUCCGAGCGUUAUCCGGAUUUAUUGGGUUUAAAGGGAGCGUAGGUGGACAGUUAAGUCAGUUGUGAAAGUUUGCGGCUCAACCGUAAAAUUGCAGUUGAUACUGGCUGUCUUGAGUACAGUAGAGGUGGGCGGAAUUCGUGGUGUAGCGGUGAAAUGCUUUGAUAUCACGAAGAACUCCGAUUGCGAAGGCAGCUCACUGGACUGCAACUGACACUGAUGCUCGAAAGUGUGGGUAUCAAACAGGAUUAGAUACCCUGGUAGUCCACACAGUAAACGAUGAAUACUCGCUGUUUGCGAUAUACAGUAAGCGGCCAAGCGAAAGCAUUAAGUAUUCCACCUGGGGAGUACGCCGGCAACGGUGAAACUCAAAGGAAUUGACGGGGGCCCGCACAAGCGGAGGAACAUGUGGUUUAAUUCGAUGAUACGCGAGGAACCUUACCCGGGCUUAAAUUGCAUUUGAAUAUAUUGGAAACAGUAUAGCCGUAAGGCAAAUGUGAAGGUGCUGCAUGGUUGUCGUCAGCUCGUGCCGUGAGGUGUCGGCUUAAGUGCCAUAACGAGCGCAACCCUUAUCUUUAGUUACUAACAGGUCAUGCUGAGGACUCUAGAGAGACUGCCGUCGUAAGAUGUGAGGAAGGUGGGGAUGACGUCAAAUCAGCACGGCCCUUACGUCCGGGGCUACACACGUGUUACAAUGGGGGGUACAGAAGGCAGCUACCUGGUGACAGGAUGCUAAUCCCAAAAGCCUCUCUCAGUUCGGAUCGAAGUCUGCAACCCGACUUCGUGAAGCUGGAUUCGCUAGUAAUCGCGCAUCAGCCAUGGCGCGGUGAAUACGUUCCCGGGCCU